Molecule: long non-coding RNA, 1207 nt
Filed under: Arabidopsis lyrata
Lineage: Eukaryota; Viridiplantae; Streptophyta; Magnoliopsida; Brassicales; Brassicaceae
Description: long non-coding RNA (ALYR_LNC002908)
Source: RNAcentral
UAAAACCCAGCUUUGGGCUUUUACUUGGGAACAUGGAAUUUUUAUCAACUGGCUAAUUGAAGCGAGUAUUAUUAGUUCACUGUAAUAAAAAAAAUUCAACUUGAUUUUGCCUUUUCAAUUAUUCUUCCCCAUGUAGAGUUCUUUACCUUGAUCGUUGCUUAUAUGGUUGUUGGUGCACUUUCAAAUUUGAUCUGACGCCUAAGACUCUCUACCUUGCAGUGAACUUGUUAGAUUGCUAAUACAGAGGAAAUGCGUAGUUGAUCGGUCUCACUGCAUUUUUUCUUACAUCUAAGUAGGAGGACUAUUGGCAUCACAGGGUAAGAGAUAUUAAGAUUUACACUUAUGUACUGUUUUCAAACUAGCGGAAUAUCUUCCCCCUAUCCAUUCAGAUCAUAAAUUUCAUUAGCAUCCCAAACUUGUUUUGAGAUUGUUUGGACAUGACCUCAGCAAGAGGUAUUAUAUAUAUAUACCUUGCUUUAUUAUUUUCACUCUUCUUAUCGAUUGCUUACCUGAAUCUUACAGGGGAGAGCAGCCAAUAUGAUUAACUUUUUCUUCGCAUCCCUUCGGGCAAAAGGUAAAAAUCUCUGGCUUAUGAUUCCUUUUACUUCAUAUGGGUGACUUCAAAAAACUCAUGUUCAUCACCCACAAUGAUGCAUAGAAAUCUGACUUCUUUGGAUUACCCCAAGUUGUCCUACUUUGAUAUUCCCUUUGAGAUUAAGAGAGAAUGUGAACCUGGUAUAUUAUGCUGGCAUACAUUGUGUCUGGUUUCAAGGGAUAUAAUUCUGCUUGAUCGUAAAGACAAAUCAUCAUCAAUGUGUAUUAUAUAACAAAACAACUGUAAUGAAUUCUGUUUACAUUCAAUAGGCAAGUUGUACAAGCUCAUGAGUAUUAUUGGUUCCCUACCCUCUUUGAUAUUUGAAAACCUAAGUCAACCACAUCUACUCAUCUGCAUAUGCUUGCACACAUAUUUAUACUAUCUGCAAUGUAACAGUAUAUAUAUACGCCUGAGUGUUGCCUAACGGCACUAUGAGCAUGCGACGAAAUGGUCUUGCACAAGCAUGUGCUCUUCUUGCUUGUCUAAUGUCCUUUGCACUGCUUUGUAGAACUCAAUCCAAGAAGAUGAGUAUGAAUCCACGGCGCCAAACAUGAAAGUUGGAUUGGGGCUUGCAGGGCAAGCAGUGACCAAAUCCAAAACAGAAGUUGCAGG